GACGAACGCUGGCGGCGUGCUUAACACAUGCAAGUCGAGCGGUAAGGCCCUUUCGGGGGUACACGAGCGGCGAACGGGUGAGUAACACGUGGGUGACCUGCCCUUAGCCCUGGGAUAAGCCUGGGAAACUGGGUCUAAUACCGGAUAUGACUCCAUGACGCAUGUUGUGGGGUGGAAAGCCUUGUGCGGCUAGGGAUGGGCCCGCGGCCUAUCAGCUUGUUGGUGGGGUGAUGGCCUACCAAGGCGACGACGGAUAGCCGGCCUGAGAGGGUGAUCGGCCACACUGGGACUGAGACACGGCCCAGACUCCUACGGGAGGCAGCAGUGGGGAAUAUUGCGCAAUGGGCGAAAGCCUGACGCAGCGACGCCGCGUGAGGGACGAAGGCC
RNAcentral lists this ribosomal RNA (387 nucleotides) under uncultured bacterium. Its description in RNAcentral is "bacterial SSU rRNA". It matches the Rfam family "Bacterial small subunit ribosomal RNA", at positions 28 to 416 of the family's 1533-position model. The record is from RNAcentral.